GGAUAACGUUUGGAAACGAACGCUAAUACCGCAUGAUAUUAUUGGGCAGCAUUGCCUGAUAAUCAAAGGAGCAAUCCGCUGAAAGAUGGGCUCGCGUCCGAUUAGGUAGUUGGCGGGGUAACGGCCCACCAAGCCGACGAUCGGUAGCCGGACUGAGAGGUUGAACGGCCACAUUGGGACUGAGACACGGCCCAGACUCCUACGGGAGGCAGCAGUGAGGGAUAUUGGUCAAUGGGGGAAACCCUGAACCAGCAACGCCGCGUGAGGGAAGACGGUUUUCGGAUUGUAAACCUCUGUCCUCUGUGAAGAUGAUGACGGUAGCAGAGGAGGAAGCUCCGGCUAACUACGUGCCAGCAGCCGCGGUAAUACGUAGGGAGCAAGCGUUGUCCGGAUUUACUGGGUGUAAAGGGUGCGUAGGCGGCUUUGCAAGUCAGAAGUGAAAUCUAUGGGCUUAACCCAUAAACUGCUUUUGAAACUGCAGGGCUUGAGUGAAGUAGAGGUAGGCGGAAUUCCCGGUGUAGCGGUGAAAUGUGUAGAGAUCGGGAGGAACACCAGUGGCGAAGGCGGCCUACUGGGCUUUAACUGACGCUGAGGCACGAAAGCGUGGGUAGCAAACAGGAUUAGAUACCCUGGUAGUCCACGCUGUAAACGAUGAUUACUAGGUGUGGGUGGACUGACCCCAUCCGUGCCGGAG
RNAcentral lists this ribosomal RNA (694 nucleotides) under uncultured bacterium. Its description in RNAcentral is "bacterial SSU rRNA". It matches the Rfam family "Bacterial small subunit ribosomal RNA", at positions 141 to 851 of the family's 1533-position model. The record is from RNAcentral.